GAGCCGGUAGCUCAGUCUGGUAGAGCAACGGACUUUUAAUCCGUGGGUCGCGGGUUCAAAUCCCGCCCGGCUCA
RNAcentral lists this transfer RNA (74 nucleotides) under Thermocrinis albus DSM 14484. RNAcentral's name for it is "tRNA-Lys (TTT) (tRNA-Lys-TTT-1-1)". It matches the Rfam family "tRNA". Rfam says of the family: Transfer RNA (tRNA) molecules are approximately 80 nucleotides in length. Their secondary structure includes four short double-helical elements and three loops (D, anti-codon, and T loops). The record is from Rfam by way of RNAcentral. Lineage: Bacteria; Pseudomonadati; Aquificota; Aquificia; Aquificales; Aquificaceae.